CCUACGGGAGGCAGCAGUGAGGAAUAUUGGUCAAUGGCCGAGAGGCUGAACCAGCCAAGCCGCGUGAGGGAAGAAUGUCCUAUGGAUUGUAAACCUCUUUUGUCAGGGAGCAAAGUCACCCACGUGUGGGUGUUGGAGAGUACCUGAAGAAAAAGCAUCGGCUAACUCCGUGCCAGCAGCCGCGGUAAUACGGGGGAUGCGAGCGUUAUCCGGAUUUAUUGGGUUUAAAGGGUGCGUAGGCGGGUUAGCAAGUAAGCGGUAAAAUCGUGGAGCUCAACUCCAUCCAGCCGUUGAAACUGAUGAUCUUGAGUGGACGAGAAGUAUGCGGAAUGCGUGGUGUAGCGGUGAAAUGCAUAGAUAUCACGCAGAACUCCGAUUGCGAAGGCAGCAUACCGGCGCCCGACUGACGCUGAGGCACGAAAGCGUGGGUAGCGAACAGGAUUAGAUACCCUGGUAGUC
Molecule: ribosomal RNA, 459 nt
Filed under: uncultured bacterium
Lineage: Bacteria
Description: partial 16S ribosomal RNA
Rfam family: Bacterial small subunit ribosomal RNA
Source: RNAcentral